This 307-nucleotide long non-coding RNA is filed under the name Theobroma cacao (cacao). RNAcentral describes it as "long non-coding RNA (TCAC_LNC004991)". The record is from RNAcentral. Lineage: Eukaryota; Viridiplantae; Streptophyta; Magnoliopsida; Malvales; Malvaceae.
UUGUGAUUAUCUAGCUGUGGUUUGGACUCGGCAGAGUUGGCACUGGAAACCCGAGUAGAGUCCUUGCCAGCAGAACUAAUCCCAAUUGAAAGCUCCAAAUUUAACUCUUGCCCAUGACUUGGAUACUUGUCCUUGUGUUGUUGUUGUUGGCGGUGGUGUAGAUGUUGUUGUAGUUCUUCGUCUGUAGUCGUGCCACUGCUGGUACAGUUGCCUUCUUCAAGAGACUCUGCCUUGGCCUUAACUUGAAAUUCACUGUAUUUAAAAUCCAGAGAUGGGGUUGUAAUGAAGUUGGCUUUUCCAACUUUGG